Molecule: transfer RNA, 85 nt
Filed under: Pedosphaera sp.
Lineage: Bacteria; Pseudomonadati; Verrucomicrobiota; Pedosphaerae; Pedosphaerales; Pedosphaeraceae
Also listed under: 3 other names
Description: tRNA-Tyr
Rfam family: tRNA
About the family: Transfer RNA (tRNA) molecules are approximately 80 nucleotides in length. Their secondary structure includes four short double-helical elements and three loops (D, anti-codon, and T loops). Further hydrogen bonds mediate the characteristic L-shaped molecular structure. tRNAs have two regions of fundamental functional importance: the anti-codon, which is responsible for specific mRNA codon recognition, and the 3' end, to which the tRNAs corresponding amino acid is attached (by aminoacyl-tRNA synthetases). tRNAs cope with the degeneracy of the genetic code in two manners: having more than one tRNA (with a specific anti-codon) for a particular amino acid; and 'wobble' base-pairing, i.e. permitting non-standard base-pairing at the 3rd anti-codon position.
Source: RNAcentral
GGGAGGAUACCGAAGCGGUCAAACGGGACUGACUGUAAAUCAGUUGGCUAUGCCUUCACAGGUUCGAAUCCUGUUCCUCCCACCA